Molecule: long non-coding RNA, 3387 nt
Filed under: Pelobates cultripes (western spadefoot toad)
Lineage: Eukaryota; Metazoa; Chordata; Amphibia; Anura; Pelobatidae
Source: RNAcentral
CUUACACCCAAAGGGCGGAUAAGGGAAGAGGAUACAGAUCCCGCGGACGCAACAGAUACCCAACAGGUGAGAUUUCCUACCUUUCACCUUUCUACUGUUUAUCAUGCAGGCAGGUUGUCACACUGUGUAGACAUGUGGAAGACACUGUCUUCAGAUACCUGGGUCCUAAACACAGUUCAGGGUUAUUACAUAGAGUUUCACUCUCCCCCUUCUCAAAUAGAUUAUCCUCACUAUCCAAAAAUGUCAAAGUCUCAGAGUCUUCUUCUAGAUUCAGAACUACGUUCUCUUCUAACAAAAGGAGCGAUUCAACUCGCUCCACUAGACGAAGGUUUCCUCAGCUCCAUCUUCUUAGUCAAGAAGAAAUCAGGGGACUUUCACCCAGUAAUCAACCUCCGUCAACUGAACUCUUUUGUUAUUUACAGACAUUUCAAAAUGGAAGGGAUUCAUCUCCUCAGAGACAUUCUCCGACCAGGCGAUUGGUUCACUCGUCUCGACCUCAAGGACGCUUACCUCUCGGUACCAGUACACCCAUCCAGUCAGCGUUUUCUCUGCUUUCUUUGGCACCAUCGGAUUUUCCAAUUCACCUGCCUUCCAUUCGGCCUGAGUUCCGCCCCGUGGUGCUUCACCAAACUGCUCAAACCAGUCACCGCACAUCUUCGAGAAAGCGGCAUUCGUUGUUUGAUCUACCUCGACGACCUCUUGCUUCUCUGCGUUCACAGACGAACUAUACAUCUGUAUUGAUCGAAUCCUUGGGGUUUGUCAUAAACCAAGAGAAAUCGUCACUGUCCCCAUCCAGAGUUAUUCAAUUUCUCGACUUCGAGAUCGACUCUUCAACCUGUGUUCUUCGCCUACCUCAAUCCAAGUUAACUGCGAUCAGGAAGGAACUACGCAAAACACUUCGUCAAGAGGAUUUACCUCUCCGAGGUUUAGCUCGAAUCGUAGUCCUACUUUCUGCUUCUAUUCAGGCAAUCUACCCAGGCCCCCUUCACUACCGGGCCAUGCAACGCUUGAAAGCUCAAUUCCUCCGGACUCAUCCAUCAUACGACCAGAGGGUCCCGAUCACCACGGAGGUGAGGGAGGAACUCUUUUGGUGGCUCCGCCACAUGUCGGCCUGGAACGGCAAGGCAAUUUUCGGUCCUACCCCGGACUAUGUAGUGGAAUCAGAUGCGAGUCUCCAGGGUUGGGGUGCAACCUGUCAUACAACCUCCACCAGAGAACCAUGGACCACCUCAGAACACUUUCUCCACAUCAAUUGUCUGGAGUUAAUCGCAGGCUCGUUCGCAAUUCGCAGUUUGACCAAUCAUCUCUCAAACUGCUGUAUUCUCCUUCGGAUGGACAAUAUCUCAGCUGUCCAAUACAUCAACAAAUUGGGCGGGGCCAGAUCCCGCAUCCUCUCCGAAGUGACAAAAGACAUCUACGAGUUUUGCUUCCGACGCAACAUCUCACUUCGAGCGGAAUAUCUCCCAGGGGAAUCGAACAUCACCGCGGAUUGGUUCUCCCAACAUUGGAGAGACGGCUGCGACUGGCGCCUACACAGAACAAUCUUCCUCCACAUCUCCAGACUCAGGGGCCCGUUUACCCUAGACCUAUUCGCCUCCCGGACGAAUUUUCAAGUUCCACGGUUUUUCAGCUGGCUUCCAGACCCAGAAUGUUUAGCUGUAGAUGCCUUCCUUCAGAGUUGGCCGACGACGGGAGCCUAUGCUUUUCCUCCGUUUGCGAUGAUUCCCAGAGUUCUCCUUCAGAUUCGCAGACAACAGAUCACACUUGUACUACUCACCCCGCUCUGGCGGGGCAAAGCUUGGUUUCCGGAUCUUCUGGACCUCUCCUGCCAGGAGCCCCUCCUUCUGCCUCCAUGGCCCAAUCUCCUAGAGGACCCUCAAGGGAACCCUCAUCCAAUGGUAAAACAAGGCCACCUCCACCUUGUAGCCUGGACUCUUUCAGGGGAACCUGGCACUUCGGAGGACUAUCGCAGAGAUCUAAAGAACUCCUCUGGGAUUCGUGGGCCCCUGGAACUAGAAGAUGCUAUCUUUCCUCCUGGAACGCUUGGUGCAAUUGGUGCCUGGAAUGGAAUACCGAUCCCCUUACGGCCCCUAGACAGUUCAUUUUGAAUUUCCUCUCUCAUCUAUUCGAUCUAGGCCGUUCCUACAGAUCCAUCAACGUUUCCCGUUCAGCCAUCUCGGCAGCCCAUGUUCCUCUAGACGGAGUUCCGGUGGGCCAGGACAAGCUGGUUUGUAGACUAUUGCGGGGCAUCAAACUGGCUCGCCCCCCUAAACCAAAAUACUCCCAUCUGUGGGACGUUAAUGUCAUGAUUCGUUUCCUCGAGACCUGGCCGAACAACGAAGAUCUAUCCCUCCGUCAACUCUCGGCAAAAUUCACCCUAUUACUUUGCUUAGUGUCCUUCCGACGAGUGUCGGAUGUUCGAGCAUUUGACCAUGACGCUAUCAACUUUUCCCCAGAGGGUGUCACCUUUUCCGUGUCCAGACGGACAAAAUCAAACUCCUCUUCUAUAUUUUACCCUUACUUCCCUAACCACCCGAAACUGUGUGUGGUAUCUCUUCUUUCUCGUUAUUUGUUACUCACCUCCUCUCUUCGUCCAACGUCUUCCAGCCAACUAUUGGUCUCAUACGUCCGUCCACAUAAUCCAGUGUCAACCAAAACCCUUGCCCGAUGGGUUAGGUGGUUGCUCUCCCUAGCCGGGAUUGAAGCCUCCUUCGGAGCCCACUCCAUCAGAGGAGCGGCAGCAUCGGGGGCAUUCAGCGCUGGAGCCUCGCUUCGAGACAUUCUUCAAUCCGCAGACUGGUCCCGAGAACAGACGUUCCGCAACUUCUAUUUUAGUCCGGCUGUGCACGCUUCCUUGGCCCUUCUUGGGGAGCGUUAAAACAGCAAAUACGAAGCCUCCUGUCAUGUUAUAAAAUUUUAGAUUAUGCUAGCUUUAGUGUACCUAUAAUCUUAAUUUUAUUAAUGACAGGAGGCGAGUAUUUCCCACCACUUUUACUUUCGUUUUUUCCCACCCUAGGGUCGCCCCUGUAGGUAAGUUUCUAAGACAAGAACGAACACACUAUGCCUACUACCAUGGGGGUUAGGAGUUAUUUUUCUAUGAUGUAUAGAUUAACUUUUCUAGCGAGCUAUAAUAUAUGUUUCAUAUCAACUAGUUAUCAUAAUUUCAAAGUCCAAUUCACGGAUUAAUCCUUGGUUUCGACUCUGCUCUCUCGUUUCAGCGUAAAACUCCCUUAAGAGGUCGAGCCUAGUUGCUGCUCCAUCACAAGCUUCACCUCUACUCCUCAAGAUCUCAGUCUACGUUCCUGUUUCCCUCUCAAGCAUCACUCUUCUCGUCUGGCAUCCUGAAUCCCUCAUCUGGUUCCUUCAGUUCCGGUUCCUAUGUGUUCG